GCCGACUUAGCUCAGUGGUAGAGCGCGUGACUUUUAAUCCCGUGGUCGAGGGUUCGAUCCCCUCAGUCGGCG
Molecule: transfer RNA, 72 nt
Filed under: Thalictrum thalictroides
Lineage: Eukaryota; Viridiplantae; Streptophyta; Magnoliopsida; Ranunculales; Ranunculaceae
Also listed under: 2 other names
Rfam family: tRNA
About the family: Transfer RNA (tRNA) molecules are approximately 80 nucleotides in length. Their secondary structure includes four short double-helical elements and three loops (D, anti-codon, and T loops).
Source: Rfam by way of RNAcentral